This 348-nucleotide unclassified non-coding RNA is filed under the name soil metagenome. RNAcentral describes it as "partial contains 5.8S ribosomal RNA, internal transcribed spacer 2, and large subunit ribosomal RNA". The stretch from base 1 to 120 matches the Rfam family "5.8S ribosomal RNA", at positions 35 to 154 of the family's 154-position model. The record is from RNAcentral.
GAUGAAGAACGUAGCGAAAUGCGAUAAGUAAUGUGAAUUGCAGAAUUCAGUGAAUCAUCGAAUCUUUGAACGCACAUUGCGCCCGCCAGUAUUCUGGCGGGCAUGCCUGUCUGAGCGUCAUUUCAACCCUCAUGCCCCUAGGGCGUGGUGUUGGGGAUCGGCCAAAGCCCGCGAGGGACGGCCGGCCCCUAAAUCUAGUGGCGGACCCGUCGUGGCCUCCUCUGCGAAGUAGUGAUAUUCCGCAUCGGAGAGCGACGAGCCCCUGCCGUUAAACCCCCAACUUUCCAAGGUUGACCUCAGAUCAGGUAGGAAUACCCGCUGAACUUAAGCAUAUCAAUAAGCGGAGGA